AUUUUCUAUUGACGAAGGAUGAAUUUGGUAGAAAUAAAGUACUAGUAUUCAAAAAUUUAUGCUGUGUUGUUAGAAAAAAAAAUUAGUGUCUAUGUAACUAACAGUUUCAAUUGCCUAUUGCCAAAUUAGAAAAAUUCAUAUAUUUUAUCACGGGCGUAGUCAGACGCUAUUGGGGGAGGUUUCAAACCCUCAACAAAUCCCCUGGCCACACCCAUGUAUUUUAUUUAAGUAUCAAUAGUAGGUUGUAGUAGUAGGUUCAUGGCAGGGAACAUUGAUGUUCCCUAAUUCUUGAUACACAACUUAAACGUUAAAUUCGUUUACCAAGAGAUGUGUGAAACAUGCUCCAGUAGAAAAGCCUGAUCCAGAACCGAUUGACGAAGGAGAAACAGAAGAUGAUGGUGGUAAUGAAGACGCAGAUGAAUCGGAAGAUUCCCAUGACGUGGACGAAGA
Molecule: unclassified non-coding RNA, 450 nt
Filed under: Zerene cesonia (dogface butterfly)
Lineage: Eukaryota; Metazoa; Arthropoda; Insecta; Lepidoptera; Pieridae
Description: anaphase-promoting complex subunit 15B-like, transcript variant X1
Source: RNAcentral